This is a non-coding RNA of Aegilops tauschii subsp. strangulata, 2258 nucleotides long. The record is from RefSeq and is a predicted model, not a curated record. Lineage: Eukaryota; Viridiplantae; Streptophyta; Magnoliopsida; Poales; Poaceae.
GUGAUGAGCUAGAGUCCCAGCCUGUUCGGCCCGUGCAGCUAGAAAACCACUUACCAUUAUCUAAAAAAUAAAUCAGGGCGUACCAGUGGCACGCUGCAACUCUCCCGGCGCGCGGCCGGCGAGGGCCUUGCAUCGGCGGCGAAGGGGAGCGAGAAGGAGGCCGCGCGCUUCUUCUCGUUCCUCCCUCACCGGCGGCGGCCAUCCCAUUCGAGGCGGCUCGAUCUGGUUCGGUUCGGUUCGGUGGAGACCACCCCUCGUCCAUCCCGCGCUGCCGCUCACUAGCCACCAACCAGGCAGUGGCCGUCGCCGUCGCCCAUUGCCAUUACCGGCUAGCCUGUUCGCUGUUGCUCUAGGUAUACGAUCAGGCUGGCUGUCUGUUACGUGACAGCCUCUGCAUAUACUCUGCUGAGUACUAGCAACUCUUUCCAAGACAGUGAUUAAGACAUCGAUGACCUUAGGAAGGCAUUGGUGUAUUUGCAAGUUAAGUUGAAUGAAGCAAUGAUAAUUUAUUUGGAGGAUCAAUCCAGGUGAGCAUGAUUGAAAGGGUCGGCUAUAUCGACGUGACAUAUGUGCAACAUAAGAUAAGGAUACCAAACUCAAGCACUAUAUGAGUACGAUUUUUUGUAUCCAUUGAUUUCGUGUUUAGACAGCUUAAAUACGGAACCUGCUAUCAUUGAGAUGUAAUACCACUUAUGUCAUCAAGCAGUAUCCUGGGUACGUACUGAGUCUAUUCACUGUCCUCUCUACACUAAAUAGAGUAUAAUGUUGCUGAAUUAUCCGUCUCUCGAGCUUCUCAGUGUCAGACAUCAAGUAUAAAAAUUCUGUAUGCACUAGCUAGACUGACAGAUGUUCGUAAUGAUCUCAUGAGGAUUUAUGCUUAUGAUGUGAUGAUCUGUUUGGAAUCUGGACUGCAUCCUUUCUAUUUCAUCUGUUAUCAUGAAGUCUAUACUCCAGUGACUUCUGUCCAAAUGUUUAUUUCAGGUGAAAGAAUCUUACACUGACAUCUGCUAUUUGGGUAGCUGCUUGGCUCGUAUGAGCACUGAUGCAUAUCAACCCACGAGCUAUGUGAGGCCCAGCUUGCCCAGUGCCAGCUCUUCAGUUGCCUCGUUGUCGAGCGUCAACAAUCUUGCGUGAGUCAUAGAAAUCCCAAGGCGGUGUACAUUUGCGUAUGGAAGUCCAAUCUGAUUGUUCAAGAAACCUGUGUUAUUAUGGCGUUCAUGUGUACACACACAGGGGCAACCAAAUUGGCUGGCCCUCUUUCAUUGUGGCCGUUGAAGUAUUGUUGUCAACAGUUGGUCCUAACUUCACUUGUUGGGUAGGCGCUGGCUCAAAAGGUUAAUGGAGUACACCAAUAUAACUUUGUACAGAUGCACACCGCACAAUUGGUUAUGGAGUGUCAACAGUUGGCAAAGAUUAACACGCCAAGCCAAUGACAGCUCCCGUCCUGGACGCUAACAGUCUUGGAUUUUUGUCGCAACAGAAAAUGGUCCUGCUCCCAGCCCAGCCAUAAUCAGGAUAGAGCCAGUUCAUGCUUUCCUCUCAAGAAAGAAGCUUCCUUUUCUCCUCAGACAUGGCCAGGCUAAUCCGCUGUAAAUGACUGGGGUACUACAUGCAGUGCAGGCGUUAGGAGCGGAGCGGUUGGUUGAUCCGCGGUUUGGUUUGGCAUUUGUCCAAGACAGGGAAGGGAAUCCAAAUCCAGGCUCUGAUCUGCUGGGAUCGAUGCUGUUUCUUCAGGGGCAAGUGAUCGAAGCCCGUCCGUCAUGAUUUUUUACCAGCUUCAGAGUCACGCCUUGGCAUGUGAUCUGAUCGGAGGUAUGCAAGAUUUGUGGCUGAUCAUCUUGUGGUCCAGAUGCACAAGCUAACUGGAUUUGUGGUUUAUCUUGCAAGGAACGAUGGGUCUAGUAUUGAAUUAGUUGCUUCCAAGUUUGAAAACGACAAAGGUAAAAAAAGAUGGAGAGAAAGAUGUUUAGAUCGUCUCCAGCACAGCGGGACCAUGAGAGAUGAUUCUUCGCUGGACCAUAAUCUCGUAAUGAUACCUUACAUCGCUACGCUAGGAGUCACUUUAAUAUCCAUCUAUACACCUCUCUGUUAACUUAAUUUGCUUUUCCCAAUGUAUUAACUUAGUUAAUUAUGAACUGUGAUAUUGUAAUUCACACGACCUCUCAGUAUGCCCAUUAUUAAAGUAAUACCCCUCUGUAAUUUCUUAUAAGACAUUUUUAGAGUCCAUGACACUGUCAAAAAACUAUUGAAUUCAGUCA